RNAcentral lists this ribosomal RNA (271 nucleotides) under uncultured prokaryote. Its description in RNAcentral is "partial 16S ribosomal RNA". It matches the Rfam family "Bacterial small subunit ribosomal RNA", at positions 524 to 794 of the family's 1533-position model. The record is from RNAcentral.
UACGUAGGGGGCAAGCGUUAUCCGGAUUUACUGGGUGUAAAGGGAGCGCAGACGGAACUGCAAGUCUGAUGUGAAAGCCCGGGGCUCAACCGCGGGACUGCAUUGGAAACUGUAGAUCUGGAGUGCCGGAGGGGCAAGCGGAAUUCCUGGUGUAGCGGUGAAAUGCGUAGAUAUCAGGAGGAACACCGGUGGCGAAGGCGGGUCUCUGGGCCUGUACUGACGCUCAUGCACGAAAGCGUGGGGAGCAAACAGGAUUAGAUACCCCGGUAGU